This 301-nucleotide ribosomal RNA is filed under the name uncultured bacterium. RNAcentral's name for it is "partial 16S ribosomal RNA". It matches the Rfam family "Bacterial small subunit ribosomal RNA", at positions 509 to 807 of the family's 1533-position model. The record is from RNAcentral.
CAGUCGCCACGGGAAUACGGAGGGAGCUAGCGUUGUUCGGAAUUACUGGGCGUAAAGCGCGCGUAGGUGGUUUGUUAAGUUGGAUGUGAAAUCCCCGGGCUCAACCUGGGAACUGCAUCCAAAACUGGCAGGCUAGAGUAGGGCAGAGGGUGGUGGAAUUUCCUGUGUAGCGGUGAAAUGCGUAGAUAUAGGAAGGAACACCAGUGGCGAAGGCGACCACCUGGACUGAUACUGACACUGAGGUGCGAAAGCGUGGGGAGCAAACAGGAUUAGAUACCCGAGUAGUCCCUGUCUCUUAUAC